This 253-nucleotide unclassified non-coding RNA is filed under the name uncultured Paracoccaceae bacterium. Its description in RNAcentral is "uncultured Rhodobacteraceae bacterium contains 16S-23S intergenic spacer region". It matches the Rfam family "Bacterial small subunit ribosomal RNA", at positions 524 to 776 of the family's 1533-position model. The record is from RNAcentral. Lineage: Bacteria; Pseudomonadati; Pseudomonadota; Alphaproteobacteria; Rhodobacterales; Paracoccaceae.
UACGAAGGGGACUAGCGUUGUUCGGAUUUACUGGGCGUAAAGCGCACGUAGGCGGACUGGAAAGUUGGGGGUGAAAUCCCGGGGCUCAACCUCGGAACUGCCUUCAAAACUACCAGUCUGGAGUUCGAGAGAGGUGAGUGGAAUUCCGAGUGUAGAGGUGAAAUUCGUAGAUAUUCGGAGGAACACCAGUGGCGAAGGCGGCUCACUGGCCAGAUACUGACGCUGAGGUGCGAAGGUGUGGGGAGCAAACAGG